RNAcentral lists this unclassified non-coding RNA (222 nucleotides) under uncultured Tomentella. RNAcentral describes it as "sequence contains ITS2". Lineage: Eukaryota; Fungi; Basidiomycota; Agaricomycetes; Thelephorales; Thelephoraceae. The record is from RNAcentral.
ACACCUCAACUCAUUAUGGUUUUCCAUGGUGAGCUUGGACUUUGGGGGUUUUGCUGGCCUAUGGUUGGCUCCUCUAAAAUAAAUCAGCUUACCGGUGUUUGGUGGGUAUCAUGGGUGUGAUAACUAUCUACGCUUGUGGUUUUUCCACCAGGUAACCUUCAGCAGUGGAGGUUCACUGGAGCUCAUAGAUGGUCUCUCCUCAGUGAGGACAGCCCUUUGAAU